AUGCACGUGCCUGGAUCUGAGUUGAUUACGGUGAUGAUUCCCUCGUCGAGAUUGACCCCCAGCUUCGCUACAGCUUUCAACUUUCUUCAACGAGUAUUCAGCAUUGACACCAUUGUGAAACCUCUUCCGCCUGCCAUGGCGUACAAUGUUUCCCGCAACUUGAACUUCUUCACACGCAUUUUCACACAGUUUUUUGAUCCAAAAGGUAUAGCAAAUGCCCAAAAAUCGUUAGGGAUAGGACAGGAAGAGAAGGCUCGUCAUGUUUGUUGAAAAAGAGA
Long non-coding RNA from Quercus lobata, 278 nucleotides. RefSeq lists it as uncharacterized. The record is from RefSeq and is a predicted model, not a curated record. The transcript is spliced from 3 exons. Lineage: Eukaryota; Viridiplantae; Streptophyta; Magnoliopsida; Fagales; Fagaceae.